GGACAUUCUGCAGUCAGCCACUGUUCUUGGCUUCCAACCAAAAGCAAAACUAAGGCAAGGCAGAGCACAGAGGGUGCUCAGGCAGAAGCUGCUUCCCCUCCUGGUGCAGCCAUUAGCUGCUGUAGUAUCUGUGACCUGUCAGAACCUGCUUCCUUCAUUUUGGGAAUAUUUGACCAACCUCAGAGCAAUUGCUGUUACGAGCCAAGGAGGUCAAAGAGCAAUGUCCAGUCUUCCCAUUCUGUCCAAGUCAGAUUUAUCGACCAUGUUUCGGAAAAAGGUGAGCCUCAGGGAUAGUUUGUCAAUGGCUGAGCUAAUCACAAAGGUGCCUGGGCAGGAAUACUGGCACCAGCCAAAUUUGCAUUACUUGUUCUGAGCAAUUGAGCUUUGUUUGAAGAAUGGGAGGGGAUAAAGAAGAUAACUGAUCAUUUUCUCAGGUGACUGACCUGGUGAUUAGGAGCAGCCUUCUUGGAUGCAGUUAGGCAAAGUCUGAAUGUCUUCCCUUCUCCCCCCACCGCUCUCUCCUGCCACCCCAGGAGCAACAUAUAAAAAUGUGUAGCUCCAGGCAUGAAAGUAGCUUCUGUCUACACAAUGCAGGUCAAAGAGAAGGAACUGACCAGGUGUCCAGGCACCAAAAUACCAGGCUGGUCUAGCCCCAACUCUCCUUCUCACAUGCCCACGUUCACGCAACUAACUCACAGGGUUUUGGGGAAGACUAAGACGGAGUGAAUGUAAAACCCACUCCCUUCUGCCCACGUUCACAUGGUCCAUGCUGAGGGAAUUCAGAAAAGGAGACAGACCCGGGGGGGUGCGUCAGUCAAGGCAAGUUUCUCGAAGGAAGGAAGCAGAACUCAGGAGGACAUGGACUGGAACAGUCAGGGCAAUUUCAGGCUGUGACAAAGCUGGAACGGACGACUGUAGCAGGAGCAGGAGUCACUGACAUUCUAGGCCAGGCCAGGGCUAAGCCAGAGAACCUAUUAAUAGUAAUCCACAAAUAGAUAUGGGGCACCUCCUAGGAACUCUCCUUGUUCCAAGCGUCGUACCUCGUGUGAUCCUUAGCGGCUCUCUGAAGCAGACAGAAGAGGGCCAGCCAUCUUUCUUCCACCUUUGAGGCUUGGGAAGGGUGAGACUUGCUGGUGACUUACAACUCCAUCAAAGGGGCAUGGUGAAAUAAGGGCCUGGGCUCCUGACUUCUGGGCUAGGGCUCUUCCAAAGGCAGAGUCUGGAGAGGCCUGGCUGUGGCCAGACCAUGGGGCAAGUGGCUAGAGGGGCGAGUAGACAGCAGAGGCAGCUGUGGCCCCCGGGAUUAGCACUGGGGGACCGGAUGGGGGAGGGAGGCCUCACUUUGUUCUAUCUGAGCAGCUUCCUCGGCAGUCAUGGGACUGAUUGAGACCACGCGAGGGCUCCUCCCGGGGGCAGGAGGGACUCAGAGGCUGCCCCGUUGUCUGGGGGUGGCCCUGGCGAAGGAGCUCAUCUUCACGGGCCGACGACUGAGUGGAACUGAGGCCCACGUACUGGGGCUGGUGAAUCACGCUGUGGCCCAGAACGAGGAGGGGGACGCCGCCUACCAGCGGGCACGAGCACUGGCCCAGGAGAUCCUGCCCCAGGCCCCCAUUGCCGUGCGGCUGGGCAAAGUAGCCAUUGACCGAGGAACGGAGGUGGACAUUGCAUCUGGGAUGGCCAUUGAAGGGAUGUGCUAUGCCCAGAAUAUUCCAACCCGGGACCGGCUAGAGGGCAUGGCAGCCUUCAGGGAGAAGCGGACUCCCAAAUUUGUUGGCAAAUGACCCCCAUUUUAACCUUCAGCAUGGGAGAUGCAUGCCCUGAAGAGCAGGAUCCAGAAGGAAGAUUUGUGGCCAGAUUGCCUUCAUCAUUUCACCUCUCCAGACUUCCAUUUCUUCACAAGGAUGAUGAUGGAAAUAAAAUGACUGGCGUGAUGCCUGGAACCAAGGUGCUGAUCCUACCACCUACUGCUACCUUCCUUAGCUUCACCCUGGCUAGAAAUAAUCACGAGGGUUGGGUUUGCUUUGGAAAAUGCCUGUCUCUCUACUUGAAUGAUAAAGAAUUAAAU
Molecule: long non-coding RNA, 2065 nt
Filed under: Homo sapiens (human)
Lineage: Eukaryota; Metazoa; Chordata; Mammalia; Primates; Hominidae
Description: long non-coding RNA NONHSAT151601.1
Source: RNAcentral